AGUUUGAUCAGUGGCUCGAAGGACGAACGCUGGCGGCGUGCCUAACACAUGCAAGUCGAGCGGGGUCCAUCCGGUAGCAAUACUGGGGAAGACCUAGCGGCGAACGGGUGAGUAACACGUGAGAAACCUGCCCCGAAGUCUGGGAUAACCCGAGGAAACUCGAGCUAAUACCGGAUGCCUUCUUCUGAUCGCAUGGUCGGAUGAAGAAAGAUUUAUCGCUUCGGGAGGGUCUCGCGGCCUAUCAGCUAGUUGGCGGGGGUUAACGGCCCACCAAGGCGUCGACGGGUAGCUGGUCUGAGAGGACGAUCAGCCACACUGGGACUGAGACACGGCCCAGACUCCUACGGGAGGCAGCAGUGGGGAAUAUUGCGCAAUGGGCGAAAGCCUGACGCAGCAACGCCGCGUGCGGGAUGAAGGCCUUCGGGUUGUAAACCGCUUUCAGUGGGGACGAAUUCAGACGGUACCCACAGAAGAAGCCCCGGCCAACUACGUG
This 493-nucleotide ribosomal RNA is filed under the name uncultured bacterium. RNAcentral's name for it is "bacterial SSU rRNA". It matches the Rfam family "Bacterial small subunit ribosomal RNA", at positions 10 to 507 of the family's 1533-position model. The record is from RNAcentral.